AACGAAGCUUGACGGAUGAUUUCUUCGGAAUGAAACCUGAUAUGACUUAGUGGCGGACGGGUGAGUAACACGUGAGCAACCUGCCUUUCAGAGGGGGAUAACGGCUGGAAACGGUCGCUAAUACCGCAUGACGUGUUCGGAUGGCAUCAUCUGAACAUCAAAGAUUUAUCGCUGAAAGAUGGGCUCGCGUCUGAUUAGAUAGUUGGUGGGGUAACGGCCUACCAAGUCUACGAUCAGUAGCCGGACUGAGAGGUUGAACGGCCACAUUGGGACUGAGAUACGGCCCAGACUCCUACGGGAGGCAGCAGUGGGGAAUAUUGCACAAUGGGGGAAACCCUGAUGCAGCAACGCCGCGUGAAGGAUGACGGUUUUCGGAUUGUAAACUUCUUUUCUUAGUGACGAAGACAGUGACGGUAGCUAAGGAAUAAGCAUCGGCUAACUACGUGCCAGCAGCCGCGGUAAUACGUAGGAUGCAAGCGUUAUCCGGAUUUACUGGGUGUAAAGGGAGCGCAGGCGGGACUGCAAGUUGGAUGUGAAAUACCGUGGCUUAACCACGGAACUGCAUCCAAAACUGUAGUUCUUGAGUGAAGUAGAGGCAAGCGGAAUUCCGAGUGUAGCGGUGAAAUGCGUAGAUAUUCGGAGGAACACCAGUGGCGAAGGCGGCUUGCUGGGCUUUAACUGACGCUGAGGCUCGAAAGUGUGGGGAGCAAACAGGAUUAGAUACCCUGGUAGUCCACACUGUAAACGAUGAUAGCUAGGUGUGGGGGGUCUGACCCCUUCCGUGCCGGAGUUAACGCAAUAAGCUAUCCACCUGGGGAGUACGACCGCAAGGUUGCAACUCAAAUGAAUUGACGG
This 855-nucleotide ribosomal RNA is filed under the name uncultured bacterium. Its description in RNAcentral is "bacterial SSU rRNA". It matches the Rfam family "Bacterial small subunit ribosomal RNA", at positions 59 to 916 of the family's 1533-position model. The record is from RNAcentral.